RNAcentral lists this ribosomal RNA (377 nucleotides) under uncultured eukaryote. Its description in RNAcentral is "partial 18S ribosomal RNA". It matches the Rfam family "Eukaryotic small subunit ribosomal RNA", at positions 592 to 976 of the family's 1831-position model. The record is from RNAcentral.
CAAUAGCGUAUAUUUAAGUUGCUGCAGUUAAAAAGCUCGUAGUUGGAUUUCGGGUGGGAAUGGCCGGUCCGCCGUUUCGGUGUGCACUUGCUACGCCCACCUUGCUGCCGGGGACGUGCUCUUGAGUUCACGCUCGGGACACGGAGUCGGCGAGGUUACUUUGAGUAAAUUAGAGUGUUCAAAGCAGGCCUACGCUCUGAAUACAUUAGCAUGGAAUAACACGAUAGGACUCUGGCCUAUCUUGUUGGUCUGUAGGACCGGAGUAAUGAUUAAGAGGGACAGUCGGGGGCACUCGUAUUUCAUUGUCAGAGGUGAAAUUCUUGGAUUUAUGAAAGACGAACUACUGCGAAAGCAUUUGCCGAGGAUGUUUUCAUUAA